CGGGUCGCUGGUGGCCACUGGUGGCGGGUGCGUCACGGGGAUGACCACGUGUCUAGAACGCUGAGGUCCAG
Small nucleolar RNA from Oryctolagus cuniculus (rabbit), 71 nucleotides. Ensembl annotates it as small nucleolar RNA, C/D box 114-18. NCBI's taxonomy places the organism in Eukaryota, Metazoa, Chordata, Mammalia, Lagomorpha, Leporidae. The record is from Ensembl.